RNAcentral lists this transfer RNA (72 nucleotides) under Candidatus Pacearchaeota archaeon. RNAcentral describes it as "tRNA-Thr". It matches the Rfam family "tRNA". From Rfam's summary of the family: Transfer RNA (tRNA) molecules are approximately 80 nucleotides in length. Their secondary structure includes four short double-helical elements and three loops (D, anti-codon, and T loops). Lineage: Archaea; Nanobdellati. The record is from RNAcentral.
GCCUGCAUAGCUCAGUGGUAGAGCACUAGUUUUGUAAACUAGGGGCCGGGGGUUCGAAUCCCUCUGCAGGCU